GGUAAAUGCACAACCCGGACGGAAGUGUCUCUCCGACACCAGAUCCGGGCUCGGAGCUCCAGACGCUGGGACAGGCCGCCCGCAGACCACCCCCGCCGCGCGCGGGACACGACGCCCCCCGCAGGACCCGCCCAUCAGCCCGGAAACCCCCGAGCUGCUUCUUCCGGAGGCUGAUGCCCACCCGGGAGCCCCCAAAGACUCGCGGCUCCCGGGGGCACCUGCAGACUCACCCGCCUGGGCCUGGACCCCCGGUGAGCCUGACCGGGAGGGGGUCCCCAGGCCGGGCCUCUAGGCAAAAGAUUUAGUCCCCCCAGUUUGAGGGACUCCGGUUUCCCGGCACCCCGAUUUAACUCCAAACCAUAAUUCCUGUGGCAGCUGCAGGGACUGGCGCCCCGAGGCCUCAAAACCAGCGCCCCCCGCCCUCCGUGCCAGCCCCAGCCGGGACCCCACAAGGCAAAGACCAAGAAGAUUGUGUUUGAGGAUGAGUUGCUCUCCCAGGCCCUCCUGGGCGCCAAGAAGCCUAUUGGAGCCAUCCCUAAGGGGCAUAAGCCUAGGCCCCACCCAGUGCCCGACUAUGAGCUUAAGUACCCACCGGUGAGCAGUGAGAGGGAACGGAGCUGCUAUGCUGCAGUGUUCCAGGACCAGUACGGAGAGUUCUUGGAGCUCCAGCACGAGGUGGGGUGUGCACAGGCAAAGCUCAGGCAGCUGGAAGCCCUGCUGAGCUCCCUGCCCCCACCCCAAAGCCAGAAGGAGGCCCAAGUUGCAGCCCGGGUUUGGAGGGAGUUUGAGACGAAGCGAAGGGAUCCUGGCUUCCUGGAUAAGCAGGCUCGCUGCCACUACCUGAAGGGUAAACUGAGGCAUCUCAAGACUCAGAUCCAGAAAUUCGAUGACUGAGGAGACAGCGAGGGCUCCGUGUACUUCUAAGUGCCCCUGCAGAUGGGCAGAGGGAUGCAUGCGGAUGCAGGUCCCUUGCAUUUCUUGGUAUCUCUCAGCCUUUCCUCUUGCAGCUCCCCCUACCAGGGGUCGCUUUCUCCUGGAUUGCAAAUGCCUCUUCAGUUUGGACUCAGCUCUGACAGCCCCUCCUCCAGGAAGGCCUUCCAGGACUUCCUCCUCUGGGUCCUCUAGCUCUGACCCUAUAGGGACUCCAGAUCUCAACCUGUUCCCUGGAAGUAGGGCCUGCUCUCCAUCCCAGUGAAAUAAA
RNAcentral lists this small RNA (1201 nucleotides) under Pongo abelii (Sumatran orangutan). RNAcentral describes it as "retained intron". Lineage: Eukaryota; Metazoa; Chordata; Mammalia; Primates; Hominidae. The record is from RNAcentral.